AUUGAACGCUGGCGGCACGCCUAAUACAUGCAAGUCGAACGAUCACUUCGGUGGUAGUGGCGCACGGGUGCGUAACGCGUGGGAAUCUGCCCUUGGGUUCGGAAUAACAUCUGGAAACGGAUGCUAAUACCGGAUGAUGACGUAAGUCCAAAGAUUUAUCGCCCAGGGAUGAGCCCGCGCAGGAUUAGCUAGUUGGUGGGGUAAAGGCCUACCAAGGCGACGAUCCUUAGCUGGUCUGAGAGGAUGAUCAGCCACACUGGGACUGAGACACGGCCCAGACUCCUACGGGAGGCAGCAGUAGGGAAUAUUGGACAAUGGGGGCAACCCUGAUCCAGCAAUGCCGCGUGAGUGAUGAAGGCCUUAGGGUUGUAAAGCUCUUUUACCCGGGAUGAUAAUGACAGUACCGGGAGAAUAAGCCCCGGCUAACUCCGUGCCAGCCGCCGCAGUAA
This 449-nucleotide ribosomal RNA is filed under the name uncultured bacterium. RNAcentral's name for it is "partial 16S ribosomal RNA". It matches the Rfam family "Bacterial small subunit ribosomal RNA", at positions 30 to 523 of the family's 1533-position model. The record is from RNAcentral.